UAUCUGUUUUAUUAAGGCUGCAGGCAGAGCGCACCAAGUAUUUAAACUAAUGUAUUCGUAAUCUAUAAGUCAAUUUCUAACUCAAUAUCUUAACUCACACCAAAAACCCAUCAAAGCUUAAUAUAAAUCUUUUAUCUUUUUUCUAUUAACCUGAUAGCAUCAUUCAAGCUUCUUUGAAAGUAAAUUUUAGUUUUUAAGUCAUGGAACAAAAUUCUCUAGAGCACAAUUCAUCACUCUGUGACAAUUCAUAUGAUAAAUUUGUCAAACAAGGAAAAACGUAUGAAAGUAAACAGCACGAUUUAGAGGCUAUACGUCCAGUUUUAAAUAACGAUACAUGUCUCCUAGAAGAUAAAGACUACCGCAUACAAUUACGCUGGAAUUCUUCUCUUUUGCCAGUCUUAAAAUUUCGCUUAUUGUUAGAUUAUCUGCAGUAUAGCAUUCCACAGAAGAUUCCGAAGAUAUACUGUUUUUUAUAACUUCAGGUUCCAUUGAUUUAAUCCAGGGCAUCCCACUUACUGAAGAAAAAUUUGUCGCUAUAACGGUAUCUCCUUUACGAAGAAGGAUUUUCAUAAUCCCAGUAACGUCUUUUGUGUUAGUGAAAGCUACUACCCAUGAUACUGAUUUAUUGUGCUCACGUCUUUGCGAAUUUACAAAUUUCGCAAGCUCAAUCGCAGCUUCUUUAUUGUGUGCUCCGUCAAAUAAAAUAUCACCCAAAGAAGGAACCGAACGAAUGUCAAGCCUUCCAGGCCAAGAUGUAUUUUUUACACCAUUUUGUACAUGGGGAAGCAUAAUUGAAAAUGACGAAGAAAGGAUAUCGAGAGCAGUUACUGCACAAGCCAAAUUUUGUCCUUGAUAAUCCCCCUUCAAUGGAGUACUAAAAGUAUUGGUUCCCCAAUUUGGAGUAUUGAUGAUCCACUCAUUUUUGUUUUCACCUGAUUUUCCUUUUGCCAAAUAAAACGGAUGUGCCCUCGUUUCCUCUGCACUUAAUUUUAAUUGAUUUAGGACGUUAACUUCAUUUAACCCAUCAACCACGCACGGAACAUUCUUUUUAAAGAUCCCAGCCUUUUCUUUAGCAAUAGCCUCUAAGGUAUUUCCUAAAAAUGCUUGAUGGUCCAAGCAAAUACGUGAAAUUAUUGAAAGAACUGGUUCUUCAAAUACAUUAGUAGCAUCCAAACGACCACCCAUUCCUGUUUCAAUUACAGCCACACGAACACCUGAAUGAUGAAAACAUUGGAACGCAGUAGCAGUUAACAAUUCAAAUUCCGUCGCUUUUGUACGAAAUCUUCUAUCCACUUCAAUCACCUGCUUCCAACAAGUAUUAAAUAUCUCUUCACUAGCAAUCUGACCAUUUAUGCUUAUGGUAUCUCUUGGCUCUAAGAAAUGAGGACUUGUAUAGCGUCCUGUUUUAAUAGCAGCUUGCAAAAGACUCGUGUAUAUAUAGCUACAAAUGCUACCUUUACCAUUAGUCCCAGCAAUUUGUACAGCACAAAACGAUUCCUGUGGAUUGCCAAGGUGCUUCAAGAGCUGUAGCAUACGCUGAAGACCUAGCUGAAUAGGCAUCCUACGUGAGCGAUAGUAAAGGAGGAAUUUUAAUGCUGUAUUAUUAAAAAAUAAUGAUUCUUUACCUUUAUAAGCUCGUAAAAACUUUAAAAGUACUUGGUCAUGUGAAUAUGUUUUGCA
Molecule: non-coding RNA, 1680 nt
Organism: Schizosaccharomyces pombe (fission yeast)
Lineage: Eukaryota; Fungi; Ascomycota; Schizosaccharomycetes; Schizosaccharomycetales; Schizosaccharomycetaceae
Source: the annotation of a GenBank genome assembly